UACCGCGGCCCUACCACCCAGAACGCACCCGAUCUCGUCUGAUCUCGGGAGCUAUGCAGGGUUGGGCCUCGUUGGUACUUGGAUGGGACACAGAUACUGUUACUGCCUGAC
Molecule: ribosomal RNA, 111 nt
Filed under: Octodon degus (degu)
Lineage: Eukaryota; Metazoa; Chordata; Mammalia; Rodentia; Octodontidae
Source: RNAcentral